Molecule: long non-coding RNA, 397 nt
Organism: Triticum aestivum (bread wheat)
Lineage: Eukaryota; Viridiplantae; Streptophyta; Magnoliopsida; Poales; Poaceae
Exons: 3
Source: RefSeq, a predicted model, not a curated record
CGACAUCACGCAAACCCAGGCCGGCAGGCACAGCUAUUCCAACCCUAGGCCGCCAACGCCCGACCCCCCCAUCUGUAAUUCUGUGUGGGCGCACGCACUGAUGCUCGUAACCGAUUCAAUCAUCAGGAAUGUCAGAGAAGCUAAUGGUUAUCCUAAUAUCUCUAUUGUUUAUCGCAUUACUGUGCCUGUGAUGGUCGCAUCUGCCGAAAGAAGAUUUUCGAAGUUGGAAUUAUUGAAGAAUUAUUUGUGGCCAACAAUGAAUCAAGAGAGGUUAAAUGAUUUGGCUAUAUUAUGCACUCAUAAGUUAUUGGUUGAGAUUGACAUCGACCCCAUCAUAAAUGACUUUUGAUCAAGAAAUGUUAGAAGAAAAUUUAAGGUAAUAUGUAUAAUUAUUUGA